UACAUGGGGUGCAAACGUUGCUCGGAAUUAUUGGGCGUAAAGCGCACGUAGGUGGUCACUUAAGUCGGAUGUGAAAGCCCUCGGCUCAACCGAGGAAGUGCAUCCGAAACUGAGUGGCUAGAGUACUGAAGAGGGUCGCGGAAUUCCCGGUGUAGAGGUGAAAUUCGUAGAUAUCGGGAGGAACACCGGUGGCGAAGGCGGCGACCUGGGCAGAUACUGACACUGAGGUGCGAAAGCGUGGGGAGCAAACAGG
This 253-nucleotide ribosomal RNA is filed under the name uncultured bacterium. Its description in RNAcentral is "partial 16S ribosomal RNA". It matches the Rfam family "Bacterial small subunit ribosomal RNA", at positions 524 to 776 of the family's 1533-position model. The record is from RNAcentral.